RNAcentral lists this ribosomal RNA (2924 nucleotides) under Klebsiella quasipneumoniae subsp. similipneumoniae. Its description in RNAcentral is "bacterial LSU rRNA". It matches the Rfam family "Bacterial large subunit ribosomal RNA". The record is from RNAcentral. Lineage: Bacteria; Pseudomonadati; Pseudomonadota; Gammaproteobacteria; Enterobacterales; Enterobacteriaceae.
GGGUUGUGAGGUUAAGCGACUAAGCGUACACGGUGGAUGCCCUGGCAGUCAGAGGCGAUGAAGGACGUGCUAAUCUGCGAAAAGCGUCGGUAAGGUGAUAUGAACCGUUAUAACCGGCGAUGUCCGAAUGGGGAAACCCAGUGUGAUUCGUCACACUAUCGUUAACUGAAUACAUAGGUUAACGAGGCGAACCGGGGGAACUGAAACAUCUAAGUACCCCGAGGAAAAGAAAUCAACCGAGAUUCCCCCAGUAGCGGCGAGCGAACGGGGAGCAGCCCAGAGUCUGAAUCAGCUUGUGUGUUAGUGGAACGGUCUGGAAAGUCCGACGGUACAGGGUGAUAGUCCCGUACACCAAAAUGCACAGGCUGUGAACUCGAAGAGUAGGGCGGGACACGUGGUAUCCUGUCUGAAUAUGGGGGGACCAUCCUCCAAGGCUAAAUACUCCUGACUGACCGAUAGUGAACCAGUACCGUGAGGGAAAGGCGAAAAGAACCCCGGCGAGGGGAGUGAAAAAGAACCUGAAACCGUGUACGUACAAGCAGUGGGAGCACCUUUAUGGUGUGACUGCGUACCUUUUGUAUAAUGGGUCAGCGACUUAUAUUCUGUAGCAAGGUUAACCGUAUAGGGGAGCCGCAGGGAAACCGAGUCUUAACUGGGCGUUAAGUUGCAGGGUAUAGACCCGAAACCCGGUGAUCUAGCCAUGGGCAGGUUGAAGGUUGGGUAACACUAACUGGAGGACCGAACCGACUAAUGUUGAAAAAUUAGCGGAUGACUUGUGGCUGGGGGUGAAAGGCCAAUCAAACCGGGAGAUAGCUGGUUCUCCCCGAAAGCUAUUUAGGUAGCGCCUCGUGAAUUCAUCUUCGGGGGUAGAGCACUGUUUCGGCUAGGGGGUCAUCCCGACUUACCAACCCGAUGCAAACUACGAAUACCGAAGAAUGUUAUCACGGGAGACACACGGCGGGUGCUAACGUCCGUCGUGAAGAGGGAAACAACCCAGACCGCCAGCUAAGGUCCCAAAGUCAUGGUUAAGUGGGAAACGAUGUGGGAAGGCACAGACAGCCAGGAUGUUGGCUUAGAAGCAGCCAUCAUUUAAAGAAAGCGUAAUAGCUCACUGGUCGAGUCGGCCUGCGCGGAAGAUGUAACGGGGCUAAACCAUGCACCGAAGCUGCGGCAGCGACACUAUGUGUUGUUGGGUAGGGGAGCGUUCUGUAAGCCUGCGAAGGUGACCUGUGAGGGUUGCUGGAGGUAUCAGAAGUGCGAAUGCUGACAUAAGUAACGAUAAAGCGGGUGAAAAGCCCGCUCGCCGGAAGACCAAGGGUUCCUGUCCAACGUUAAUCGGGGCAGGGUGAGUCGACCCCUAAGGCGAGGCCGAAAGGCGUAGUCGAUGGGAAACAGGUUAAUAUUCCUGUACUUGGUGUUACUGCGAAGGGGGGACGGAGAAGGCUAUGUUAGCCGGGCGACGGUUGUCCCGGUUUAAGCAUGUAGGCUGGUUAUCCAGGCAAAUCCGGAUAAUCAAGGCUGAGGUGUGAUGACGAGGCACUACGGUGCUGAAGUAACAAAUGCCCUGCUUCCAGGAAAAGCCUCUAAGCAUCAGGUAACAUCAAAUCGUACCCCAAACCGACACAGGUGGUCAGGUAGAGAAUACCAAGGCGCUUGAGAGAACUCGGGUGAAGGAACUAGGCAAAAUGGUGCCGUAACUUCGGGAGAAGGCACGCUGGUGUGUAGGUGAAGUCCCUGCGGAUGGAGCUGAGACCAGUCGAAGAUACCAGCUGGCUGCAACUGUUUAUUAAAAACACAGCACUGUGCAAACACGAAAGUGGACGUAUACGGUGUGACGCCUGCCCGGUGCCGGAAGGUUAAUUGAUGGGGUUAUCCGUAAGGAGAAGCUCUUGAUCGAAGCCCCGGUAAACGGCGGCCGUAACUAUAACGGUCCUAAGGUAGCGAAAUUCCUUGUCGGGUAAGUUCCGACCUGCACGAAUGGCGUAAUGAUGGCCAGGCUGUCUCCACCCGAGACUCAGUGAAAUUGAACUCGCUGUGAAGAUGCAGUGUACCCGCGGCAAGACGGAAAGACCCCGUGAACCUUUACUAUAGCUUGACACUGAACAUUGAGCCUUGAUGUGUAGGAUAGGUGGGAGGCUUUGAAGCGUGGACGCCAGUCUGCGUGGAGCCAACCUUGAAAUACCACCCUUUAAUGUUUGAUGUUCUAACGUUGGCCCCUAAUCGGGGUUGCGGACAGUGUCUGGUGGGUAGUUUGACUGGGGCGGUCUCCUCCCAAAGCGUAACGGAGGAGCACGAAGGUUAGCUAAUCCUGGUCGGACAUCAGGAGGUUAGUGCAAUGGCAUAAGCUAGCUUGACUGCGAGCGUGACGGCGCGAGCAGGUGCGAAAGCAGGUCAUAGUGAUCCGGUGGUUCUGAAUGGAAGGGCCAUCGCUCAACGGAUAAAAGGUACUCCGGGGAUAACAGGCUGAUACCGCCCAAGAGUUCAUAUCGACGGCGGUGUUUGGCACCUCGAUGUCGGCUCAUCACAUCCUGGGGCUGAAGUAGGUCCCAAGGGUAUGGCUGUUCGCCAUUUAAAGUGGUACGCGAGCUGGGUUUAGAACGUCGUGAGACAGUUCGGUCCCUAUCUGCCGUGGGCGCUGGAGAAUUGAGGGGGGCUGCUCCUAGUACGAGAGGACCGGAGUGGACGCAUCACUGGUGUUCGGGUUGUCAUGCCAAUGGCACUGCCCGGUAGCUAAAUGCGGAAGAGAUAAGUGCUGAAAGCAUCUAAGCACGAAACUUGCCCCGAGAUGAGUUCUCCCUGAGACUUUAAGUCUCCUGAAGGAACGUUGAAGACGACGACGUUGAUAGGCCGGGUGUGUAAGCGCAGCGAUGCGUUGAGCUAACCGGUACUAAUGAACCGUGAGGCUUAACCUUACAACGCCGAAG